AAUAGCGUGUUUUCGCGUUGGGCGAACAUAUCCGAUUUCCGGUCCGCCCCCUAUACGUCAUCAUUGAGUAAACUUUGACCCGGAACCUCACAGCCAGCAGACACAUUCCACCCAAUCAGCAGCAGACCCUCCCUCCGGGUCAAAGUUUACUCAAUGAUGACGUAUAGGGGGCGGACCGGAAAUCGGAUAUGUUUGCCCAACGCGAACACGCUAUU
Pelobates cultripes (western spadefoot toad) is the source of this 215-nucleotide non-coding RNA. The record is from the annotation of a GenBank genome assembly. NCBI's taxonomy places the organism in Eukaryota, Metazoa, Chordata, Amphibia, Anura, Pelobatidae.